AGAGUUUGAUCAUGGCUCAGAUUGAACGCUGGCGGCAGGCCUAACACAUGCAAGUCGAACAGUAACAGGAAGAAGCUUGCUUCUUUGCUGACGAGUGGCGGACGGGUGAGUAAUGUCUGGGAAACUGCCUGAUGGAGGGGGAUAACUACUGGAAACGGUAGCUAAUACCGCAUAACGUCGCAAGACCAAAGAGGGGGACCUUCGGGCCUCUUGCCAUCGGAUGUGCCCAGAUGGGAUUAGCUAGUAGGUGGGGUAACGGCUCACCUAGGCGACGAUCCCUAGCUGGUCUGAGAGGAUGACCAGCCACACUGGAACUGAGACACGGUCCAGACUCCUACGGGAGGCAGCAGUGGGGAAUAUUGCACAAUGGGCGCAAGCCUGAUGCAGCCAUGCCGCGUGUAUGAAGAAGGCCUUCGGGUUGUAAAGUACUUUCAGCGGGGAGGAAGGGAGUAAAGUUAAUACCUUUGCUCAUUGACGUUACCCGCAGAAGAAGCACCGGCUAACUCCGUGCCAGCAGCCGCGGUAAUACGGAGGGUGCAAGCGUUAAUCGGAAUUACUGGGCGUAAAGCGCACGCAGGCGGUCUGUUAAGUCAGAUGUGAAAUCCCCGG
RNAcentral lists this ribosomal RNA (609 nucleotides) under uncultured bacterium. Its description in RNAcentral is "bacterial SSU rRNA". It matches the Rfam family "Bacterial small subunit ribosomal RNA", at positions 8 to 606 of the family's 1533-position model. The record is from RNAcentral.